CGGAUUGAUACUAAGCCAUGCGAGUCAUUGUAGCAAUACAAGGCAUACGGCUCAGUAACGCGUAGUCAACCUAACCUAUGGACGGGAAUAACCUCGGGAAACUGAGAAUAAUGCCCGAUAGAACAUUAUACCUGGAAUGGUUUAUGUUCCAAAUGAUUUAUCGCCGUAGGAUGGGACUGCGGCCUAUCAGUUUGUUGGUGAGGUAAUGGCCCACCAAGACUAUUACAGGUACGGGCUCUGAGAGGAGUAGCCCGGAGAUGGGUACUGAGGCACGGACCCAGGCCCUAUGGGGCGCAGCAGGCGAGAAAACUUUGCAAUGUGCGAAAGCACGACAAGGUUAAUCCGAGUGAUUUCUGCUAAAGAAAUCUUUUGUUAGUCCUAGAAACACUAACGAAUAAGGGGUGGGCAAGUUCUGGUGUCAGCCGCCGCGGUAAAACCAGCACCUCAAGUGGUCAGGAUGAUUAUUGGGCCUAAAGCAUCCGUAGCCGGCUCUGUAAGUUUUCGGUUAAAUCUGUACGCUUAACGUACAGGCCGCCGGGAAUACUGCAAAGCUAGGGAGUGGGAGAAGUAGACGGUACUCGGUAGGAAGUGGUAAAAUGCUUUGAUCUAUCGAUGACCACCUGUGGCGAAGGCGGUCUACUAGAACACGUCCGACGGUGAGGGAUGAAAGCUGGGGGAGCAAACCGGAUUAGAUACCCGGGUAGUCCCAGCUGUAAACUAUGCAAACUCAGUGAUGCAUUGGCUUGUGGCCAAUGCAGUGCUGCAGGGAAGCCGUUAAGUUUGCCGCCUGGGAAGUACGUACGCAAGUAUGAAACUUAAAGGAAUU
RNAcentral lists this ribosomal RNA (826 nucleotides) under uncultured archaeon. RNAcentral describes it as "bacterial SSU rRNA". It matches the Rfam family "Archaeal small subunit ribosomal RNA", at positions 34 to 866 of the family's 1478-position model. The record is from RNAcentral.